Molecule: ribosomal RNA, 265 nt
Filed under: uncultured archaeon
Lineage: Archaea
Description: partial 16S ribosomal RNA
Rfam family: Archaeal small subunit ribosomal RNA
Source: RNAcentral
AGUCACUGACAUUAGAUACCCCUGUAGUCCCAGCCGUAAACAAUGUGUGUUAGGUGUGUCGGUAACCACGUGUUACUGAUGCGCCGAAGAGAAAUCGUGAAACGCACCACCUGGGAAGUACGGUCGCAAGGCUGAAACUUAAAGGAAUUGGCGGGGGAGCACCACAACAGGUGGAGCCUGCGGUUUAAUUGGAUUCAACGCCGGACAUCUCACCGGAUAAGACAGCUGAAUGAUUGUCAAUCUGAAGGUUUUACAUGACUAGCUG